AGCGAACGCUGGCGGCAGGCCUAACACAUGCAAGUCGAACGCACCUUCGGGUGAGUGGCGGACGGGUGAGUAACACGUGGGAACGUACCUUUAGGUUCGGAAUAACGCAGGGAAACUUGCGCUAAUACCGAAUGUGCCCUUCGGGGAAAGAUUAUCGCCUUUAGAGCGGCCGCGUUAGAUUAGCUAGUUGGUGAGGUAAUGG
Molecule: ribosomal RNA, 202 nt
Filed under: uncultured bacterium
Lineage: Bacteria
Description: partial 16S ribosomal RNA
Rfam family: Bacterial small subunit ribosomal RNA
Source: RNAcentral